RNAcentral lists this ribosomal RNA (440 nucleotides) under uncultured bacterium. RNAcentral describes it as "partial 16S ribosomal RNA". It matches the Rfam family "Bacterial small subunit ribosomal RNA", at positions 338 to 795 of the family's 1533-position model. The record is from RNAcentral.
CCUACGGGAGGCAGCAGUGGGGAAUAUUGCACAAUGGGGGGAACCCUGAUGCAGCGACGCCGCGUGAGUGAAGAAGUCUUUCUGUAUGUAAAGCUCUAUCAGCAGGGAAGAAAAUGACGGUACCUGACUAAGAAUCCCCGGCUAACUACGUGCCAGCAGCCGCGGUAAUACGGAGGGGGCAAGCGUUAUCCGGAUUUACUGGGUGUAAAGGGGGCGUAGACGGUUAUGCAAGUCUGAAGUGAAAGCCCAAGGCUCAACCAUGGGACUGCUUUGGAAACUGUAAAACUGGAGUGCAGGAGAGGUAAGCGGAAUUCCUAGUGUAGCGGUGAAAUGCGUAGAUAUUAGGAGGAACACCAGUGGCGAAGGCGGCUUACGGGACUGUAACUGACGUUGAGGCUCGAAGGCGUGGGGAGCAAACAGGAUUAGAUACCCGUGUAGUC